Molecule: long non-coding RNA, 3139 nt
Filed under: Sus scrofa (pig)
Lineage: Eukaryota; Metazoa; Chordata; Mammalia; Artiodactyla; Suidae
Description: lncRNA (ENSSSCG00025001468.1)
Source: RNAcentral
UUUUUUUUUCUUUUUUUUUUUUUGGCUUUUUCUCUUUUUAGGGCCGCACCCGCAGCAUAUGGAGGUUCCCAGGCUAGGGGUCCAAUCGGAGUGAGGCCAGGGAUCGAACCCGCAACCUCAUGGUUCCUAGGCGGAUUCGUUUCCACUGCGCCACGACGGGAACUCCAUGAAUAGUAACCUUUAAAUGUUCCAACCACCUGGUUUUUGUUGCAAAAACUCCCAUCUGUCCUGGCUCCUCCUUGACCUCUUCAGAGCAGUCCCUGAGAGCUGUCUGAGAGGCAGUCUCCAGGACUUAAUCCUCAGUUUGUCCCGCGAAUGAAAUUUAUUUUCCAGCUUUUAGGUUGCACAUUUUUUCUUCAGUAGACAAGCCUCUGCGGGAGGCGCAGCCCACAAGCCCUUCUUUCCAGGCCUCCAGGGCAGGGGUAAGGCCUAAUCAACCUCACGACUAUAGUGUCAGCUGAUGGUACCUUCAUUCCCACUGGCAAUAAGUAAUGAUAAAGACAGCGUGCUAAUGUACAUAGAUGCUUCCAUGUCAUUCAGGAUCAUUGCAGAAAAUCUAGGAAGUAGGAUGGUAAUGGACAUUUAUGGCCUGCUUAUCGCAUACCACAGACUAGUCUAAGCAUUGCUCGUCUACCCUUCGAAACAAGGUAACAUGGUAAGAUUGAGGUGAGAGCUAGUACUGUUACCCUCCCCCUUUAAAGAAGGGAUCCAGGUUACCUAACUUGUCCAAAGCGCCAUCACUGAUAAGUGGGAGCUGGGGCUUGAACCCAGGCAGUCGGGCCUGAGGUGGCCCACUGUCAGGCCCCUGCCAAGUGUGGAAGAAGAAUCUGGGAGAGAUUUGAAAGAAGAGUUCUUUUUUUCUUUUUCUGCUGUGGUUUUAUUCUGAUUGCAUCGUCUGUUUCCUUUGAAAUUUACAAUUAUUAUGAUAUGAUAUAAUUAUAUGUAGGGAACACAACUGAAGAACUGAUGCUGCCUCUGAAAACUGGUCUGGAAUAUCUGUGGGGGGGGGGACUCAAAUUGAGAAAUGACUGAAUGUACAGCCAGUGACAGCUGUUCUUUUUAGGAAGUUAAAUGGAUUUUGGUCUUCGCAAAGAGUUUCUCCUUCCUGAGGAAAUGUAUCCUGUUUGCUGUGUGUUCUAAGGCAAAGUUUGUGCAAGUGAUGACACCCAAGACAGGCCUGAUGUCCCCCAAACAAAAGGCCAGGUCAUUAGGCAUCACAAGUUUUUCUAUUUUUCCCCAUAUUCAGAUUGUAACCCAAACUUAUCAUUUUGACUUCCCUCACAAUUAUCCAUUUCUCCCCAUUUCCCUGCCUCUCCUCCAGGAGCCUCUCAUCCUUGUGUCCCUGGCGUGGCAUCGGAACAGCCUCCUUUAGGCUAUGCUCUUGCCCUGGCCUGCCCUGCUCCAAACUGACCCCUAGGGGUAGUUUCCUGACCUGUGUUCACAUCCCCUCCUGCUUCUUAAACCUUCCAGCACGGGCUACAACCAGCAGCCUUGAGGGCAAGGGCCUCUGGUUGGCCUUCGGAGUGCCAUAGUUUGGAACAUGUACUAGCUACCAGCACACGUCUGCCUCCUCCAGGUAACCAAAGCUGUAGCCACAAGGCUUUAUCAUUCCUCAUGUGUAUCACUCUCCUUGCCGCCCCUUCCAGACCAUUGUACACUCUGUUCCCUCCACUAAGAAGCCAUUAAUCUCACUUCCAACCUCACUGCAACCUGAGGAGACAGCCAUCAUAGCACAGAGUUUAAGACAGAAGGCUCUGGAGUCAGACUGCCCAGGGUCACAUAGGAGUCAGGGGCUUAGAAGGCCUGUGCUUGGUCUAACAGUCUGCCGCCGCCAUCUUGAAAUUCUUAGCCAUUUUGACAAGGGCACUGGGCUCACAAACUAUGUAUGUUUCCUGAUUCGAAUACUGACAGGCGGUGUAACUAAAAUAAAGAGAAUUGUGAAGGGCUGAGAACAGGGUGGAUGACACUGGGAGUGAUCAAUAAAUGGGACUUACCAUUAUCUUCAUGUCACACAUGAAGAAACAGAGGCCCAGGGAGGAGUUGCAGAGGGCCCCAGAGCUGUUACGUGAUAGACGGUGAUUUCGCUAAACCCACUGAACCUCUGGUCAAUUAAUCUAUGAAAAAGGAGGCAAAAAUCUACAAGGCAGAGAUGAUGGUCUACUCAAUAAGUGGUGCUGGGAAAACGGGGCAGCUACAUGCGAAAGAAUGAACUUAGAACAUUCUCUAAUAGCAUAUGCACAACAAUAAACUCAAAAUGGAUUAAAGACCUAAAUGUAAGACGCAAUACCAUAAACCUCUUAGAGGAAAACACUGACAGACCACCUUUUGACGUAAACCACAGCAAUGGCUUUGGAUACACGUCCUCGAGUAACAAAAAUAAAAAUAAACAAAUGUGACUUAAUUAAACUUGAAAGGUUCUUAACAUUUUUUUUUCUGUUUUAUUUUUUAGAAGUUUUUUGUUUUUUUUUGUUUUUUUUUGUUUUUUUGCAAGGGCCACACCCAUGGCAUAUGGAGCUUCCCAGGCUAGGGGUCUAAUGGGAGCUACAGCUGCCAGCCUGCACCACAGCUGGGGGUGCAACCGACACCACAGGUCACAGUGGCCCUGGAUCCUUAACCCAUUCAGCGAGGCCAGGGCUUGAACCCGCAACCUCAUGGUUCCUAGUCAGAUUCGUUUCCACUGUGCCACAACGGGAACUCCAGAAGUUUUUAACAUUUUUUAUUAAAGUAUAGUUGAUUUACAAUGUUGGACUAAUUUCUGAUGUAGAGCAAAUGACUCAGUGAUACACAGAUAUACCUUCUUUUUUAAAUAUUCUUUUCCAUCAUGGUCUAUCCCAGGAGACUGGUUAUAGUCUCCUGUGCUGUACAGUAGGACCUUGCUGUUUAUUCAUUCUAAAUGUAACCGUUUGCACCGACUAACCCCACACUCCCAUCCAUUCCACUCCCUCCGCCCUGCCCUUUCACAACCACAAGUCUGUUCUCUGUCUUUUGAGUCUGUUUCUAUUUUGUACAUAGGGUCAUUUUUGUCAUAUUUUAGAUUCCACAUGUAAGUGAUAUCAUAUGGUAUUUGUCUUUCUUCUUCUGACUUACUUCACUUCGUAUGAUAAUCUAAACUUAAAAGCUUUUGGACAGCAAAGGAAAC